Non-coding RNA from Paramuricea clavata, 380 nucleotides. Lineage: Eukaryota; Metazoa; Cnidaria; Anthozoa; Malacalcyonacea; Plexauridae. The record is from the annotation of a GenBank genome assembly.
CUCUCCACGUGACAUAUUAUGGUUGACAUGAUUUGCCAAUAAGUUUAUGAAUUAUUAAUGAGUGUUUGAAAUAUAUAUAAUGAACAGUUACCCAUCUGCGGUAAACGUCACUGUCCGUACACCAACAUUUCAACCGGUUGAGAAUUUGACACAUUUUUACAAGUCAGUUCGGUACACACAUCAAUAAAGGCACUCGUGAGCCAAUCCUAUAUAAAUAAAAUUCGAAACAAAUAAGUCUUUAAACGAUUUUGGAUUGAGUUAGGCCUGGCACAUGAGUGGAGCGGCAAAUGAAUCAAUGUCGGCCCAAUGUCGCGUUAUGGGUUAGUCGUAGUUUUUUAGGUUCAAUUUAUAAGUAGAAGAGGAAUGGUUGUUAAAGAGUU